This 72-nucleotide transfer RNA is filed under the name Camelus bactrianus (Bactrian camel). It matches the Rfam family "tRNA". Rfam says of the family: Transfer RNA (tRNA) molecules are approximately 80 nucleotides in length. Their secondary structure includes four short double-helical elements and three loops (D, anti-codon, and T loops). Further hydrogen bonds mediate the characteristic L-shaped molecular structure. tRNAs have two regions of fundamental functional importance: the anti-codon, which is responsible for specific mRNA codon recognition, and the 3' end, to which the tRNAs corresponding amino acid is attached (by aminoacyl-tRNA synthetases). tRNAs cope with the degeneracy of the genetic code in two manners: having more than one tRNA (with a specific anti-codon) for a particular amino acid; and 'wobble' base-pairing, i.e. permitting non-standard base-pairing at the 3rd anti-codon position. The record is from Rfam by way of RNAcentral. RNAcentral also lists the same sequence under 2 other names. Lineage: Eukaryota; Metazoa; Chordata; Mammalia; Artiodactyla; Camelidae.
AUGGGUAUAGCUCAGCGGUAGAGCGCAUGCUUAGCACACAUGAGGUCCUGGGUUCAAUUCUUAGUGUCUACA